GUCCACGCCGUAAACGAUGGAUACUAGCUGUUGGAAGCAAUUUCAGUGGCUAAGCGAAAGUGAUAAGUAUCCCACCUGGGGAGUACGUUCGCAAGAAUGAAACUCAAAGGAAUUGACGGGGGCCCCGCACAAGCGGUGGGGCAUGUGGUUUAAUUCGAUGAUACGCGAGGAACCUUACCAAGGCUUAAAUGUAGAUUGACCGUUUUGGAAACAGAACUUUCGCAAGACAAUUUACAAGGUGCUGCAUGGUUGUCGU
This 256-nucleotide ribosomal RNA is filed under the name uncultured bacterium. RNAcentral describes it as "partial 16S ribosomal RNA". It matches the Rfam family "Bacterial small subunit ribosomal RNA", at positions 793 to 1055 of the family's 1533-position model. The record is from RNAcentral.